GAAAGAUUAUUAAGUUUUUGCUUAUAUUGUUGUUUUUUGGAGUUUGUCUCAUUUCCAUUUCUCAUUUUGUUCAAUUUAAUGCUCAGUGUAUUUUCAUUGUCUCGGUCUUUGAUAUUAUGGGAAGAAGGGUAUUAUGGGAUGUAAACAAUAUGCUGAAGUACAAUGAUAAUGAGUAUAGUUUCUUGAAAUUUUAACACAAGCACAUUACAUUGAAAGAUCAUUUUUCUAUGAUUGUGCAAUGAGAGGUAUCAGAGUGAUCAAAUUUCUGUUGGACCUCUCUAACUUUUGCCUCUUUACACAAAAAUGUGUGUAUGAACUCAUUUGAUAUCCUACAUAUUCGUCCACAAUUACAUGUUUAAUGAAAAAGUGGAUUGUCGGCAAAAGUUUUAAGUACAGUUUGAUUCCCAACAUGCUGUUUCCAGAUUCAAAAUUACGUGGAAGAAAAAUUUACCGAAAUGUGUUUCAGCAUCCAGAAAUAUCUCCUCAGUAUUUAUCCAAGUUGUUACAUUGCAUUGUAGAGCAUUUCAAAUCCUGGGUACAGGCAGUGCCACAAUAAGUGCUUUCUCAUCAGUUGCUCAGGAUGAAAGGGCUGAUACAACAUUGCGUCAAUGAAGAGUUUUAAUUAUUUGAGAAAACAAUAAAAGGUUAUGUCAGUCAAUAAUUCUAUUUCACCUUUAUUACAGGUGUAUAUAUACUACUCAAAAUACGUUAAGUAACAGCCAGUUUUUUCAUGUCAUGUUAGUUAAUCUAAUUAUUAUGAAAUAUUAUCAGUAGACAUUUAAAAAAAAGUCUGGUGUUCCUAGUUCAUGACAGAUUAUCAAUAUCCAAAAUAUUUUUAUGGAUUAAACUUCUUUUUUAAAUAAGAAGUUGAGUCAAAAAAAAAUAUCUUGGACAUCGACGUACAACUUCUAAAUGCCGCUAAAAGACAUCAGAUUAUCAAUAGUCAUGAAAAAGUUAUGUUUGCAUUAACUUCUAUUGAGUAGUAUGUGUAGUUUCGAGAAUGAGUUCCUUAAAUUAUAUUACCUGUAGUCUUCUGUGUAACAUUAUUUAUGGCAGUUGUGAAAAGCAGUAAAUGAGUUUCAGUUCACUCCUGGAUAUAUGUUUGUACGGACUCCUGAAAUUGUUUGAUGUAUGUAAAGUUGGCUAUUAGUAUUUGUAGAGUUACAAACUGUCGUAACUGUAUAGUAUAUUAUAGGCUUACGGAUAUCGUAGUGCUAUGAAAGCUUUGUGAAUCGGGCCUAUGGGUCCUACGUCUCAAAGUGAUCGCUACGAACGCUUUAGGAAUCGAGCACCUGGGUCCUAAUCCACAAUGUGAUCUUAAUUUGCAUACAUAUUAUGUCCUAAAUUCACACCCUGAAGUAUGCUCAAAGCCCUACGUUAUUAACCUGGUUGGUGGAUCGAUGUGCACUCUUACCACUGUGGCCAUUAGGUCUAUGAUAAAGUAUGGGAGUGGUGAUAGCUGUAGCACAAAGGUUGCUGUGUCAAUGGAGGUUCUGAGUGGUGAUGUAAAAUAACACUGGUCUGGAGUUGAAUACCUAGUUUUGGUUUCACCCAAGUGCUAAACGUCUGAGACCUGCAUCACUUCAGGAUUUUCUCCACAUCGAGCUGACACACUGUGAUAUAACUGGAAUACUCUUAAAAACGGCAUUAGAACCAACUCACUCACAAAAUACCCCUUUAUAUAUCCAGGAGUGACUAUCUGGGAGAAAUACAAAGUAACUUAAUCCAAAUGGCUAAAUUCAUAUUAAUCACUGCAUGACUGUAUCAGCCCUAGCAAUGCCUGAGUUACAUGUGUCUUCUUCCUUCUUUCAAUCAUCCUGACACCUCCAGGUCUUCAUUCCUCCUCAGCAUCGACUAUCUCUGUCUCUAUCUCAGUGUUUCCUCCGUCACUCGGCUCUUUCAAUCAGGGCAAGUCGUGCCUGGCACGACGACACCCGACUUCUCGAGUAGUGUCAACUGCAGACUGGAGUGAGGCUUCUCACUCUUUGGACAUUUACAUUUCUGUUGAAAUGAUAAAUAAAUUAUUAAAAAUA
Molecule: long non-coding RNA, 2033 nt
Filed under: Haliotis rubra (blacklip abalone)
Lineage: Eukaryota; Metazoa; Mollusca; Gastropoda; Lepetellida; Haliotidae
Description: uncharacterized LOC124270167
Source: RNAcentral